This 490-nucleotide ribosomal RNA is filed under the name uncultured bacterium. RNAcentral's name for it is "bacterial SSU rRNA". It matches the Rfam family "Bacterial small subunit ribosomal RNA", at positions 28 to 507 of the family's 1533-position model. The record is from RNAcentral.
GAUGAACGCUAGCGACAGGCUUAACACAUGCAAGUCGAGGGGCAGCAUGAUUUGUAGCAAUACAGAUUGAUGGCGACCGGCGCACGGGUGAGUAACGCGUAUGCAACUUACCUAUCAGAGGGGGAUAGCCCGGCGAAAGUCGGAUUAAUACCCCAUAAAACAGGGGUCCCGCAUGGGAAUAUUUGUUAAAGAUUCAUCGCUGAUAGAUAGGCAUGCGUUCCAUUAGGCAGUUGGCGGGGUAACGGCCCACCAAACCGACGAUGGAUAGGGGUUCUGAGAGGAAGGUCCCCCACAUUGGUACUGAGACACGGACCAAACUCCUACGGGAGGCAGCAGUGAGGAAUAUUGGUCAAUGGCCGAGAGGCUGAACCAGCCAAGUCGCGUGAAGGAAGAAGGAUCUAUGGUUUGUAAACUUCUUUUAUAGGGGAAUAAAGUGGAGGACGUGUCCUUUUUGUAUGUACCCUAUGAAUAAGCAUCGGCUAACUCCGUG